UGAGGAAUAUUGGUCAAUGGACGCAAGUCUGAACCAGCCAUGCCGCGUGAAGGAUGAAGGCCUUCUGGGUUGUAAACUUCUUUUACCUGGGAAGAAACCCCGAUUUUCUAAUCGGGUUGACGGUACCAGAGGAAUAAGCACCGGCUAACUCCGUGCCAGCAGCCGCGGUAAUACGGAGGGUGCAAGCGUUAUCCGGAUUUACUGGGUUUAAAGGGUGUGUAGGCGGGCUUUUAAGUCAGUGGUGAAAUCUCCGGGCUCAACCCGGAAACUGCCAUUGAUACUAUUAGUCUUGAAUUUUGUUGAGGUAGGCGGAAUAAGUCAUGUAGCGGUGAAAUGCAUAGAUAUGACUUAGAACACCAAUUGCGAAGGCAGCUUGCUAAACAAAUAUUGACGCUGAGGCACGAAAGCGUGGGGAUCAAACAG
RNAcentral lists this ribosomal RNA (423 nucleotides) under uncultured bacterium. RNAcentral's name for it is "bacterial SSU rRNA". It matches the Rfam family "Bacterial small subunit ribosomal RNA", at positions 355 to 775 of the family's 1533-position model. The record is from RNAcentral.